This 73-nucleotide transfer RNA is filed under the name Candidatus Roizmanbacteria bacterium CG09_land_8_20_14_0_10_41_9. RNAcentral's name for it is "tRNA-Thr". It matches the Rfam family "tRNA". Rfam says of the family: Transfer RNA (tRNA) molecules are approximately 80 nucleotides in length. RNAcentral also lists the same sequence under 1 other name. Lineage: Bacteria; Candidatus Roizmaniibacteriota. The record is from RNAcentral.
GCCGUCUUAGCUCAGUUGGUAGAGCAACGCUUUCGUAAAGCGUAGGUCGUCGGUUCGAUCCCGACAGACGGCU